CGCGGCCUAUCAGCUUGUUGGUGAGGUAAUGGCUCACCAAGGCGUCGACGGGUAGCCGGCCUGAGAGGGUGACCGGCCACACUGGGACUGAGACACGGCCCAGACUCCUACGGGAGGCAGCAGUGGGGAAUAUUGCACAAUGGGCGCAAGCCUGAUGCAGCAACGCCGCGUGCGGGAUGACGGCCUUCGGGUUGUAAACCGCUUUUACUAGGGAAGAAGGGCUUCGGCUUGACGGUACCUGCAGAAAAAGGACCGGCUAACUACGUGCCAGCAGCCGCGGUAAUACGUAGGGUCCGAGCGUUGUCCGGAAUUAUUGGGCGUAAAGAGCUCGUAGGCGGUUUGUCGCGUCUGCUGUGAAAUCCCGAGGCUCAACCUCGGGCCUGCAGUGGGUACGGGCAGACUACAGUGCGGUAGGGGAGAUUGGAAUUCCUGGUGUAGCGGUGGAAUGCGCAAAUGUCAAGAGGAACACCGAUGGCGAAGGCAGAUCUCUGGGCCGUAACUGACGCUGAGGAGCGAAAGGGUGGGGAGCAAACAGGCUUAGAUACCCUGGUAGUCCACCCCGUAAACGUUGGGAACUAGUUGUGGGGUCCUUUCCACGGAUUCCGUGACGCAUCUAACGCAUUAAGUUCCCCGCCUGCGGAGUACGGA
Molecule: ribosomal RNA, 648 nt
Filed under: uncultured Actinoplanes sp.
Lineage: Bacteria; Bacillati; Actinomycetota; Actinomycetes; Micromonosporales; Micromonosporaceae
Description: bacterial SSU rRNA
Rfam family: Bacterial small subunit ribosomal RNA
Source: RNAcentral